UCUGCCUUUGAGAGGACCUCAGGAAGCUUCCACUCAUGGUAGAAAGUAAAGGGGGUGCAGGUGCUUCACAUGGUGAGAAAGAGAUCAAGAGAGAGAGCCAUGAGAUCAUCAUUGGAUCUUCACUGUGAGAAACCAGUGGUAUUCUUGGAGGAUAUUCACCCUUGGAAUCAAGACACCAUACUGUGAGUAUGCCAAGCAGCCACAUGGAAAG
This 211-nucleotide long non-coding RNA is filed under the name Homo sapiens (human). RNAcentral describes it as "HSALNT0343023". The record is from RNAcentral. Lineage: Eukaryota; Metazoa; Chordata; Mammalia; Primates; Hominidae.